RNAcentral lists this ribosomal RNA (450 nucleotides) under uncultured Glomeromycotina. RNAcentral's name for it is "SSU rRNA". It matches the Rfam family "Eukaryotic small subunit ribosomal RNA", at positions 569 to 1024 of the family's 1831-position model. The record is from RNAcentral. Lineage: Eukaryota; Fungi; Glomeromycota.
AGCAGCCGCGGUAAUUCCAGCUCCAAUAGCGUAUAUUAAAGUUGUUGCAGUUAAAAAGCUCGUAGUUGAAUUUCGGGGUUAGUAGGUUGGUCAUGCCUCUGGUAUGUACUGGUCUCACUGAUUCCUCCUUCCUGAUGAGCCGUAAUGCCAUUAAUUUGGUGUUGCAGGGAAUCUGGACUGUUACUUUGAAAAAUUAGAGUGUUUAAAGCAGGCUAACGCCUGAAUACAUUAGCAUGGAAUAAUGAAAUAGGACGUUCGAUCCUAUUUUGUUGGUUUCUAGGAUUGACGUAAUGAUUAAUAGGGAUAGUUGGGGGCAUUAGUAUUCAAUUGUCAGAGGUGAAAUUCUUGGAUUUAUUGAAGACUAACUACUGCGAAAGCAUUUGCCAAGGAUGUUUUCAUUAAUCAAGAACGAAAGUUAGGGGAUCGAAGACGAUCAGAUACCGUCGUAGU